Molecule: ribosomal RNA, 315 nt
Filed under: Triticum aestivum (bread wheat)
Lineage: Eukaryota; Viridiplantae; Streptophyta; Magnoliopsida; Poales; Poaceae
Description: partial small subunit ribosomal RNA
Source: RNAcentral
AUGUCUUUGUGCCCCAUGAGCCCCAGCGUCAGGCCUGUGAUUGCGGAGAUGGAGAUGAACGCCGGCACCGACCAGGAUGCCACUACCGUGCGGGCCACUGUUGUGCAGGCCUGUGGGAUGUUCCAUGACACCCCUGCAACGUUCGAGCACACCGCGGUUUGCCCUGGAGGGAGUUCCAUCAUCUCGCCAUCUGGGGCAGUGUUGGCAGGCCCCAACUAUGAGGGCAAGGCCCUCCUCGCAGCUGACCUGGACAUUGGUGAAAUUGUUCGGGCGAAGUUUGAUAAGAUCCGAGGCGCACGACUGACGAUGUUUUGA